UAACGUGUGGGCAACCUGCCCUGUACUGUGGAAUAAUCAUUGGAAACGAUGACUAAUACCGCAUGUGGUCCUCGGAAGGCAUCUUCUGAGGAAGAAAGGAUUUAUUCGGUACAGGAUGGGCCCGCAUCUGAUUAGCUAGUUGGUGAGAUAACAGCCCACCAAGGCGACGAUCGGUAGCCGGACUGGGAGGUUGAACGGCCACAUUGGGACUGAGACACGGCCCAG
Molecule: ribosomal RNA, 225 nt
Filed under: uncultured bacterium
Lineage: Bacteria
Description: partial 16S ribosomal RNA
Rfam family: Bacterial small subunit ribosomal RNA
Source: RNAcentral